Rattus norvegicus (Norway rat) is the source of this 1345-nucleotide long non-coding RNA. RefSeq lists it as uncharacterized. The record is from RefSeq and is a predicted model, not a curated record. Lineage: Eukaryota; Metazoa; Chordata; Mammalia; Rodentia; Muridae.
GGAGGGAGUCGGGCUCCAUGGCGUGUGGGCCCCUGGGCCGUGGCCCCACCUGAUUUAUGAACCGAGGCCGUCUCCAUGAGCGCCUGCGCUUCUUUUGUAUUCCAUCUGGCGGCUUCUCCAACUAGAUGACUGGCCUGCCUGGAAACAUUAGAAGGGACCGAGGCGGCGAGAUGUCUAAAAUAGGAAGACGCUGGGGACGGCUGGCCUGGCUGUCCGCGAUGCUGGCUGCAGGGAUCUGGUCCGGCUGUGCAGAUGGAAAAGCUAAAAGGCAGUGCUAGAGAGUUGCGCCCAUGCCAAGUCCUUCUCCGGCGGCCCAGCUGGUCUUGGCUAUCCCCUCUGUGGCCAGACAGAGUAUGUGUGCCUGGAGAAGCCCCUGAAUCAUCAGAACUUCCUGACACGGACUCAGAUCUGCGCAGUCCACCUGACCUCCCCAUGCUGGACCUCUUGGCUAAUGUUUAAGCCAGUCAGGAAAAACCACAAGAAGCCUGAUGUGUUUCCAGAUGAGCAACAGUAGCAGUCUGUGCGACUCAGCAAACGCUGCCCAAGGACUAUGCCAGAGGCUGGAGACCCGGGAAUGAGUCAGCCAGAGUACUCCAACCAUAGCAGAGGGACUCUCAAAGUGUUACCAGGUUGGGGAGUCUGCCCACCAUUGCGAAAGACCUAAAAUGCUCUUUCACAGUUGACCUUUGGAAGGCUGGACACACGAAAACAAAGUUCAGAGUGACAGACCGCAUAGCUGCCCCAUUGCAGGGCAGCCGAGUUAUAUGCUGGACGGGCCAUACAGUAGAUGUUUCUGACUGUGUGACUCUACUCAGUUCUGCCUUUGUAACUGGAGAGCAGCUCCCAAGUGAGUGGAUGUGACCAUGGACCAAUCAAACAGAACUCUUGGGGGGGCAGGAGAUGGCUCAGCAGUUAAAAGCGUUUGAUCUGAAACCAUGAGUGGCAAAUCCCAGCACCCGUCUGUGGGGCAAGCGGACCAUGCCACCAGACAGAAUGGGUAAGGUUAAGCAGGUUCAAAACUCAGGGAGUCUCAGAGUUGGGAACGGCGGUCUUGGAAAUAGAGCUCCCUGCUGAGCUCUACCUGUUCCGGAACAGGUAACCAUGCCACCCCAUUGAGAGGACCAUGACCAUCAGCCACACAGGGGCAAUGCCUGAAGUCCUUCCCCAUGCAAAUCGGACAUGCCUAACAUCUCAGACAGAGCCAAGGGGAAGCAUCUACCCCUGGGUCCCACCUUAUCCUCAGAGUGUUGAUAAGGUCCCUUACCCCUGGGUCCCACCUUAUCCCCAGAGUGUUGAUAAGGUCCCUUCCACAUGGAAUAAACUGCACAAGUCUUUCCACCGAGAA